Molecule: microRNA precursor, 63 nt
Organism: Takifugu rubripes (torafugu)
Lineage: Eukaryota; Metazoa; Chordata; Actinopteri; Tetraodontiformes; Tetraodontidae
Gene: mir19b
Product: microRNA mir-19b
Source: Ensembl
GUCAGUUUUGCUGGUUUGCAUCCAGCUUUGUUACCGCGCUGUGCAAAUCCAUGCAAAACUGAC